RNAcentral lists this ribosomal RNA (441 nucleotides) under Triticum aestivum (bread wheat). RNAcentral's name for it is "partial small subunit ribosomal RNA". Lineage: Eukaryota; Viridiplantae; Streptophyta; Magnoliopsida; Poales; Poaceae. The record is from RNAcentral.
AUGGCGGACCAGCUCACCGACGACCAGAUCGCCGAGUUCAAGGAGGCCUUCAGCCUCUUCGACAAGGACGGAGACGGCUGCAUCACCACCAAGGAGCUUGGAACUGUGAUGCGCUCGCUGGGGCAGAACCCCACUGAGGCAGAGCUUCAGGAUAUGAUCAAUGAAGUGGAUGCUGAUGGCAAUGGAACGAUUGACUUUCCUGAGUUCCUCAACCUGAUGGCACGUAAGAUGAAGGACACUGAUUCCGAGGAGGAGCUUAAGGAGGCUUUCCGUGUGUUUGACAAGGACCAGAAUGGUUUCAUCUCGGCAGCUGAACUCCGCCAUGUCAUGACCAACCUUGGUGAGAAGCUGACAGACGAGGAGGUGGAUGAGAUGAUCCGUGAGGCUGACGUGGAUGGUGACGGCCAGAUCAAUUACGAAGAGUUUGUGAAGCUAGUUUAG